Molecule: ribosomal RNA, 250 nt
Filed under: uncultured bacterium
Lineage: Bacteria
Description: partial 16S ribosomal RNA
Rfam family: Bacterial small subunit ribosomal RNA
Source: RNAcentral
CGGGUGAGUAAAGAGUAGGGAAUCAACCUUUGGGACUGGGAUAACACAGCGAAAGAUGUGCUAAUACCAGAUAUAAAUUAAGCAUGGAAAAAUUAAUUGGAAAGAUGGCCUCUCCUUGGAAGCUAUCACCCGGAGACGAGCCUGCGUACCAUUAGCUAGUUGGUAAGGUAAAGGCUUACCAAGGCUACGAUGGUUAGCUGGUCUGAGAGGAUGAUCAGCCACACUGGGACUGAGACACGGCCCAGACUCC